RNAcentral lists this ribosomal RNA (253 nucleotides) under uncultured bacterium. Its description in RNAcentral is "partial 16S ribosomal RNA". It matches the Rfam family "Bacterial small subunit ribosomal RNA", at positions 524 to 776 of the family's 1533-position model. The record is from RNAcentral.
UACGGAGGGUGCGAGCGUUGUUCGGAAUCACUGGGCGUAAAGCGCGUGUAGGCGGCCUUGUAAGUCUGGUGUGAAAGCCCGGGGCUUACCCCCGGAAGUGCACUGGAAACUGUGAGGCUAGAGUACCGGAGAGGAGGGUGGAAUUCCUGGUGUAGCGGUGAAAUGCGUAGAUAUCAGGAGGAACACCGGUGGCGAAGGCGGCCCUCUGGACGGAUACUGACGCUGAGACGCGAAAGCGUGGGGAGCAAACAGG